This 468-nucleotide ribosomal RNA is filed under the name uncultured bacterium. RNAcentral describes it as "partial 16S ribosomal RNA". It matches the Rfam family "Bacterial small subunit ribosomal RNA", at positions 28 to 507 of the family's 1533-position model. The record is from RNAcentral.
GACGAACGCUGGCGGCGUGCUUAACACAUGCAAAUCGAACGGAAAGGCCCUGCUUUUGUGGGGUGCUCGAGUGGCGAACGGGUGAGUAACACGUGAGUAACCUGCCCUUGACUUUGGGAUAACUCCAGGAAACUGGGGCUAAUACCGGAUAGGAGCUCCUGCUGCAUGGUGGGGGUUGGAAAGUUUCGGCGGUUGGGGAUGGACUCGCGGCUUAUCAGCUUGUUGGUGGGGUAGUGGCUUACCAAGGCUUUGACGGGUAGCCGGCCUGAGAGGGUGACCGGCCACAUUGGGACUGAGAUACGGCCCAGACUCCUACGGGAGGCAGCAGUGGGGAAUAUUGCACAAUGGGCGGAAGCCUGAUGCAGCAACGCCGCGUGCGGGAUGACGGCCUUCGGGUUGUAAACCGCUUUCGCCUGUGACGAAGCGUGAGUGACGGUAAUGGGUAAAGAAGCACCGGCUAACUACGUG